This 372-nucleotide ribosomal RNA is filed under the name uncultured organism. Its description in RNAcentral is "bacterial SSU rRNA". It matches the Rfam family "Bacterial small subunit ribosomal RNA", at positions 526 to 896 of the family's 1533-position model. The record is from RNAcentral.
CAGAGGGUGCAAACGUUGUUCGGAAUUACUGGGCGUAAAGCGCGUGUAGGCGGCGGCGUGUGUCGGGCGUGAAAUCCCAUGGCUCAACCAUGGAAGUGCACCCGAAACUGCGCAGCUAGAGUCCUGGAGAGGAAGAUGGAAUACUUGGUGUAGAGGUGAAAUUCGUAGAUAUCAAGUGGAACACCGGUGGCGAAGGCGGUCUUCUGGACAGUGACUGACGCUGAGACGCGAAAGCGUGGGGAGCAAACAGGAUUAGAUACCCUGGUAGUCCACGCCGUAAACGAUGAGUGCUAGGUGUCACGGGCUUUGACCCUCGUGGUGCCGAAGCUAACGCGUUAAGCACUCCGCCUGGGGAGUACGGCCGCAAGGCUA